GCCCAAAUGGUCUAGCGGUUACGAUUCCUGCUUUGGGAGACUUGUCUCGAAUCUGCAGGAGGUCCCCGGUUCAAUCCCGGGUUUGGGCC
Molecule: transfer RNA, 89 nt
Filed under: Leucosporidium creatinivorum
Lineage: Eukaryota; Fungi; Basidiomycota; Microbotryomycetes; Leucosporidiales; Leucosporidiaceae
Description: tRNA-Pro
Source: RNAcentral